AAUCUUCCACAAUGGACGGAAGUCUGAUGGAGCAACGCCGCGUGAGCGAAGAAGGUUUUCGGAUCGUAAAGCUCUGUUGUAAGGGAAGAACACGUACGGGUAUCACUGCCGGUUCCUCUACGGUACCUUUCCAAAAAGCCCCGGCUAACUCCCUGCCCCACGCCGCGGUAAUACGUAGGUGGCAAGCGUUGUCCGGAAUUAUUGGGCGUAAAGCGCGCGCAGGCGGUCCUUUAAGUCUGAUGUGAAAGCCCACGGCUCAACCGUGGAGGGUCAUUGGAAACUGGAGGACUUGAGUACAGAAGAGGAAAGCGGAAUUCCACGUGUAGCGGUGAAAUGCGUAGAGAUGUGGAGGAACACCAGUGGCGAAGGCGGCUUUCUGGUCUGUAACUGACGCUGAGGCGCGAAAGCGUGGGGAGCAAACA
RNAcentral lists this ribosomal RNA (422 nucleotides) under uncultured bacterium. Its description in RNAcentral is "partial 16S ribosomal RNA". It matches the Rfam family "Bacterial small subunit ribosomal RNA", at positions 360 to 774 of the family's 1533-position model. The record is from RNAcentral.